Salvia miltiorrhiza (redroot sage) is the source of this 569-nucleotide long non-coding RNA. RefSeq lists it as uncharacterized. The record is from RefSeq and is a predicted model, not a curated record. NCBI's taxonomy places the organism in Eukaryota, Viridiplantae, Streptophyta, Magnoliopsida, Lamiales, Lamiaceae. The transcript is spliced from 2 exons.
UGAACUAUUAUUAGUUUGAUUAAUUUAUUUAAAGGAUAAUUUUCAUAAUAAUAUUAUAUUAUUAUUAUUAUGUGCAUAUUUUAAGUAAUUACUUAUUAUAUGUUAAGCAUGACAUGAUUUGCAUUAUAUUUUGCAAUAAGAAUAUUUAUGAUUUAAUUGGUUUUAUUAUAAUUCCAAUUAUUAAAGAAAGAUGAGUAAGAAUAUUGUUGGUGUUCUUAACUCAAAGAGAAAUGUUUUCAAUUAUUUAUUCAUUAAAUUUUGAAAACCCGGCUAAGUGAAUCAUAGAAUAUUAAGCACUUCACCAUGACUUAAGAUUAGAAUUCAAGGAGACCUAUUAAGAAUAGAUUUCUUGUAGGCUUUGAGCAUCAGGAGGACUAGCACUGCUAUUCCGAUUCAGAGAUAAGGUUAAACGACAGGCUUUGCCUAUACAGGUUGAGUAGCUGCCGAUGGUGAUGAAGUGACGAGCGGGACUCUUUUGUCUUAUUAUGUAUUAAUGAACUCUAGGGAUACAUGUCUUCAUACAUGUAAUCAGAACCUUAUUCCGCUGCGUACUCAGAAGUUUUAUGUUA